AGAAAAGCAGUAUAUAAUAUGGUGAACUAAAAAGUAUGGCAUGGAUCAAGACUGAGGGAAAAGCAGAAGCAAGUAUGCCUGCGAUUGGAUUACCAAGUAUCAGAAAGUUGAAAAUAAAUAAAUAAAUAAACCUAAAGGACCCAAGCCUCUCUAACAAAGGAACGCAUCCAUCUCCUCUCUGCCAGUGUUCAGAUACUGCCCUGUUCUCGCAAGUUGAUAAAAAAACAUCCUUGCUUUUCAACCAGCUCUCCAGUGAGCUAGAUGUGUUUGGACCUGCAGGGGAAUGGUUGACCACCGCCGCAAAUACCAAAGCAUGAGCAUCCUAAUGGGCCUAAGAGAGAGGAAGACAGAGAUAGAAACAUCAAUGGCUCCAGAGAAACAUCAAUUGGCUGCCUCCUGCAUGCCCCCUACUGGUGAUGGAGCCUGAAACCCAGGCAUGUGAACCUCAACUUCCUGGCACACGGGACAACACCCACCCCACUAAGCCACACCAGCCAGACUGAACUUGCAUUAUUUUUAAUAAAUGGAUGGCUAUC
This is a long non-coding RNA of Molossus molossus (Pallas's mastiff bat), 536 nucleotides long. RefSeq lists it as uncharacterized. NCBI's taxonomy places the organism in Eukaryota, Metazoa, Chordata, Mammalia, Chiroptera, Molossidae. The transcript has 4 exons. The record is from RefSeq and is a predicted model, not a curated record.